This 496-nucleotide ribosomal RNA is filed under the name uncultured bacterium. Its description in RNAcentral is "partial 16S ribosomal RNA". It matches the Rfam family "Bacterial small subunit ribosomal RNA", at positions 31 to 507 of the family's 1533-position model. The record is from RNAcentral.
GAACGCUGGCGGCGUGCUUAACACAUGCAAGUCGAACGGGCCCGCUCUCUUUUUUGGGGGUGGGUUGAGUGGCGAACGGGUGAGUAUCACGUGAGUAACCUGCCCCCUGCUCCUGGAUAACUGCUUGAAAGGGCGGCUAAUACGGGGUGUGCCGGCUGGUCCGCAUGGGCCUGGUCGGGAUAGUUUCAUCUUCGGGUGUUUCGGUGGGGGAUGGGCUCGCGGCCUAUCAGCUUGUUGGUGGGGUGAUGGCCCACCAAGGGGGUGGCGGGUAGCCGGCCUGGGGGGUUGCGCGGCCGAGCGGGGACGGGGACACGGCCCAGACGCGUGCGGGAGGCGGCAGUGGGGGGUAUUGCACGAUGGGCGGAAGCCUGAUGGAGCGGCGGCGCGUGGGGGAUGGAGGCCUUCGGGUUGGGAACCUCUUUCUCCGGUGGUGAAGGCCCUGUCCGUUGCGGCGGGGUUGACGGUAGCCGGGUAUGAAGCGCCGGCUAACUACGUG